Long non-coding RNA from Brassica napus (rape), 4503 nucleotides. RefSeq lists it as uncharacterized. NCBI's taxonomy places the organism in Eukaryota, Viridiplantae, Streptophyta, Magnoliopsida, Brassicales, Brassicaceae. The record is from RefSeq and is a predicted model, not a curated record. The transcript is spliced from 3 exons.
AGACAUCAUAUUCACCUUCUGGUAAAGUAAACCCGACAGAUAUUAACUAUGAGUGGUUCAAGGCUUAAAAAUGUCACCAACUCAAACACAGUGAAUUUUUGCAAACACUCUCGAUAAGUCUGUCUAGUCUAGUCAGGAUUAGAAUAAGUAUAGUUUUUAGAAGUCUAUCGAGUCUGCAUAUGUUUAGAGUCAGUUCUAUUCAUGUGGGGGAUUGUUGGAUCCAUUAAUAGCCAUUAGGCUUUUAUUAAUAAUGUGAAUACAAAUGACAUUGGGCUUCAGAUGUUGUGAGCCCAAGUUAAUGUCAAUUAAAUGAAAGAUAGCUAAGGGGAAGAGUCUCAAAUCUGCCAAGAGAAGAGAAUUGGAGUGAUAUAAAUAUGUCUUCUCACUAUGAGAGCUUAAACAACUUGGAGAGAGAGGACGGCUCCCCACGCGCGUGCCGCCGCCGACGUCCGGCCGGCUCGGCUCGGCUCGGCGUGGGCGUGGGCUUGGGCUUGGGCUUGGGCUUGGGUCCCUGGUCUUGGGUCUUGGGUCUUGGAUCUUGGGUCUUGGGUCUUGGGUCUUGGGUCUUGGGUCUUGGGUCUUAGGUCUUAGGUCUUGGGUCUUGGUGGAGGCCUCCGGCCCAAUAAGAUUAUUUUUAGACCAAGUUAAGCUCAACGUUUUUGCCAUUUCAUUUAUAAAAAACAGCAUGACAUUUGUGUAUAAACAACAUGUAGUUUGUCUAAAAACGACACGAAGUUUAUCUGUUCGAAAUGGAUCAGAACCGAGUCAACAAGAGAGAAACUUGCGGAGAAAGUUGCUCAACGUUCCACUCCGAGAUCCUUGAGAGAUUUUCGGAAAACGUUGGCAACAGUUUCGAAAAACCGCUCUUCAUCUCAUCUUUAUAUAUCGACUCUCUUCCUUCCUUCAUUUAAAAACUUUUCCCGUAUCAAAAUCCAACAGCGAAAAUCCCUUAGCGUAAGUCUAUAGUUCGAGAGUGUUUCGUAGAUUUAUAGUUCGAUAGGAUGAUUCACGAGUGAAGCGUAAUCGUCUACCAUGGUUAUAUCCUGGGACUCGAUAUUCGUACAGUACCGUCUCACUAACGGAGCGAAUAUUUAGAGUUAAAGAAAGAGAUUAUAUCUCGACUCCAUGUUUAUUUGCGAAUACGAUUUCUUAUCGUUCUUGUAUUCGCUUUACAAAUCGUCGAUUUCCUUAACGUAUUAUUUUUGUUAUAUCGUUUAUCUCAGUCUGGUUAUCCGACUUCUACACAGACUAGCACAGGUAGACACAAUUAUUGGUUCCCUACUUGGCUCUUACUUGACCAGUAAAGUCGAGUACUCAUCAUAUUCAUUCAACAAAAAAAAAUUGAGUACGCGUCUUGAUCAAAUCGAGUAUCUACUCGUUUGUUUCAACUAAUUGAAAUCACCAGAGAUGUUUCAAUAUUAUAAAUUAACUACUUGGUGUUGUUGGCUAAUAUAUUAUCCGUAGCUUGUUACCCAUUAACACAUUUUUUUUACUAAAUAUAAUAAAAGAAAUCAUUUAAAUGUAAUGAAUUAAACAAAAAAAGUAUAUUUAUAGAAACAUUUUUGAGUUUUUUUUCUUUUAUAUACUAUAUGUGAUAAAAAAAAUCUUUUCUCAUUCCAAUAUAAUGUUUUUCUAUAUUGAUUUAAGACAUUGAAAAGUAAGAAAAACUUCUUAUAAAAUAUAAGAGUUGUUUAGUUUUGAAUUAGAACUAACUAAACCUGUAUCAAUCAAAUUCAUGUGCAAAUUUAUAACUAGCUAAAAUAAAUAAAUAAUUAUCAAAUAACUUACAAAAAGCUAUCAAGUAAUUUGUAACUAGUUUACUAGUAACAAAUAGUAAAAUAGAGCGAGUAACGUGCAUAUAUGCCAAUUUUUAACAAAUACUUGAAAUUGCAAGUACUUAUUUUAAUAAACCAAAUACAAAUCUAAAUUGCAUUACCCAAACAAGAUAUGUCAAGUACCAAAUGUAGCAAAAAUGACAAAUACAUGGUUUGUGCCCACAGAGUUCUCAUAUCAACUAAAAAGUAAUAAAAAUUAAGAAGAUGAAAAAAAAAAUCUCAUAUGAGACUCUAUGAAUAUCACUAUAAUAUGUGUCAUUAUAAAGUACAAUUUUUAAUAUUAAAUUUUACAUAUGUAAUUAAGUUACAUUAAGAUAUAUUUUUUAUUCAGUUUCCAAAUGAUCUAUAUUUUAGAAAAAAUAGUUUUAAGAAAUUAUUUUUUAUAUUUUCAAAGUAUUUUUAUCAAUUAAUAGUAAAUUGUAGAUUUCGAAAAUUAAUUGUAUUUGUUAAAUUUUAUUGAUCAAAUUUUUUGAAAUUAUUAGUUUUUAAAAAUAGAUAAUAAUAAAAAUUUAAUAUGUUUUAUUAAUGUGUAAAAACUUUAAAACAUAGAUCAUGUAAAGUAGAAUGAGUACAUUUUGGUUAGCUACUUUCCUUACUAUUCUUAACGGGGUUAUCUUUUUAGAGCAAUGUUAGUGUGAAUUUCUCAAGUUGAGUUUAUCUUAAUAUGGCAACAAAGUAUUAAUUUUUAAUUGAAUAAUCUCUCAAUUAUUUUUGAAAACUUAAUACCAAAGUUUUUCAUUUCAAUUAUGUUGAUUUAGAUUUCUGAAGUAUCUAUUUUUUAUUCAAUAGUAUUUGUAUUUUAUUUCAUUUUUAGGAAAUACAAACUGAGAAUAAUAAGAGCAUCAUCAAUCGAUAGUUUCUCAAAAAUAUUUCUUAAUAUUAUUAUAUUAACUUCUCAAUAUUGUAAUCAAAAUCAAUAAUAGCAAAAGGAAGUGAAAGACAUGUCAUCUAGAAUAUCUUGUCAUUUGUGUUUUUUCCAAGAGAUGGUUUCCCUAAUUGUUUUCUUCUCUUUCAUGUUGUUAUUGUUAUUAUUAUUAUUAUUAUUAUUAUUAUUGUUAUUGUUAUUAUUAUUUCGGAUUUACUUAAAUUAUGAACCGUUUUGGAUUUUCUAAAUAUUUAAGAAUUUUAUUUAAUUAAAUACUAAUAUUUCAUUUAAUAUUUUUGAAACUGAAAUUGAGAAAAUAUAUUGUGAAUAGUUUUUCUAUUUGUUAACUAGAUUUUAUUUUUUCCGUUCAAAGGACAAUUAUAUAUAUGUAUCUUUAUUUUAUUGUCAAGUAUAUUUCGUCUCUUCAUCGAAACCAAACAAUAUUGUUCUGAUGAAAUUAGACGUCAACGCGCAUGGUUAUAGACUUUGGAUAAAUGAUUUUAGAAAUGGUUCCUCAACACUUCCUGUAACAAAGUUAUUUGUAUGAGUACAAAAGUAAGUUUGGUUAUUAAAAUGAAAAUUUACUCUUAUUAGAUACAAAAAAAUAUUUCUACAUCCUAUUUCCUCGGGUUUGUCUUAAUCUUCAAUAAACUACUAAGUACUAACUAAUACAUGGAAUUGAACAAAAACAUUUUUAUUAGUCCAAUUAUUAGUUAAGCUCUUCUUUGUGUGUGUAUAUCUAGUUAUAUAAAAAAGAGUUUGAAUCCCUCCUAGACUAUACACGUCGGCAGCCACGUCAUUAAUUCGCGCGCUGACAAGCCAACACGUGUUCCAGUUAAGUGAAACGCAACACUUCACUAAACUAUUUGUUACGUGGGUUUUUAUUUGACAUGGGCCUUCUUUUUGUUCGAUUAUGCCACUCCAUUAAUGUGUAUUUUCAAUUGGAAACGCGGCGUUGAAUGUCUUAGGGUUUUUUUUGCUUCAUCUCCGCCAUUCGAGAAUGAGACAGAACUAGAGUUCUAAGAGAUGUUUCAGCUUCUUAUUGUUAAUUUCUACCAGUUACAGAUUCCCCAUCUUAAAUUCCUUCUAAAAUCAUCACUCACGAUCUACCUUUGAGUUCUUCAUGCAAGGCGGUGUGAUCUCGAUUAUAAAAUGAUGGGUUUUCUGACUGGUGCUCGAAGCCUUGAAGAUUUACCUCUGGUAUAUUGAUUUCUCUUUAUGAAAAAAUUACUCUUCUAAAAGGAUGAGAGCAGUUUUCAGUUUUCAGAAAAUGAUCAUGCUGUUGGAAGCUCAAUAGAGAGCUAGAAGAUGCAGAGCAAAAGGUCACGGAAAUUAGGAAGAAGAUAACAACGUGUGUGAGUUGUCUAUGAUACAAGAACCGGUAACUAAUGGGGGAAAGAAGCUAUGAGUUGAUAACAUCAAUGCUGACAGUGGUUUUUCUGAGACAGAUUAUCCUGGUGACGAUAUUCCUGGAGCUGGAGCUGUGACAACAAAGCUCUCUUAAGGUGUGACCACUGACCAGGGACCUUUUGUAUACCAAGCUUAUACGGAGAAUCACAUCAUCCAUGGCACUACCAAUAGGUCCAUAAAUACGAAGCACUCGGUUGUGGUCGAUGGUUCAGACACGGAGGAGAUUUCUAGGUUAUUUAAUUUUUGUAAGAUGAUCUACCGUAGAAGACAUCAUGCCGUAUCAUUUUAUUAGAACAACACAACUUUUCCUUUGCUGCCUCUUUGUUUGAAUUCGCUUUUGACCAUUACCUUAUGUGCAUGUUCUCCCAACAUAUCAACCAUAUUUUUUAAUUA